RNAcentral lists this ribosomal RNA (338 nucleotides) under Sciophila geniculata. RNAcentral's name for it is "partial 16S ribosomal RNA". The record is from RNAcentral. Lineage: Eukaryota; Metazoa; Arthropoda; Insecta; Diptera; Mycetophilidae.
UUUUUUAAUUGAAAACUUGUAUGAAUGGUUGAAUGAAAAAUUAGCUGUUUCAUAAAAAUUAAAUAGAAUUUUAUUUUUUAGUUAAAAAGCUUAAAUAUAAUUUAAAGACGAGAAGACCCUAUAGAGUUUUAUAGUUUAAUAUUAUUUAUUAAUUUAUAAAAAUUUUAAUUUUUAAUAUAAAAUUAUUUUAUUGGGGUGAUAAUAAAAUUUGAUAACCUUUUAUUUAUUUUUUACAUUUAUUAAUGACUAAUUGAUCCAUUUUUAUUGAUUAUAAGAUUAAAUUACCUUAGGGAUAACAGCGUUAUUUUUUUUUAGAGUUCUUAUCGAUAAAAAAUUUU